UCCUGGGUCAAUUUAGGAGGGAAGUAAAAGGUCGUAACAAGGGUUCCGUAGGUGAAACCUGCGGAGGAUCAUUAAUGAAUAAACUGAUGUGGACUGUUAGCUGGCUUUUGAAGCAUGUGCUCGUCCGUCAUCUUUAUCUCUCCACCUGUGCACAUUUGUAGUCUUGGAUACCUGGAUCGCUCUGCUGUACAAGUCGGCUUUCUUUUCAUUUCCAAGAGUAUGUUUUUAUAUACACCAAAGUAUGUUUAAAGAAUGUCAUCAAUAGGAAAUUGUUUCCUAUAAAAUUAUACAACUUUCAGCAACGGAUCUCUUGGCUCUCGCAUCGAUGAAGAACGCAGCGAAAUGCGAUAAGUAAUGUGAAUUGCAGAAUUCAGUGAAUCAUCGAAUCUUUGAACGCACCUUGCGCUCCUUGGUAUUCCGAGGAGCAUGCCUGUUUGAGUGUCAUUAAAUUCUCAACCUUCCAGCUUUUUAUUAGCUUGGUUAGGCUUGGAUGUGGGGGUUGCGGGCUUCAUUAAUGAGGUCGGCUCUCCUUAAAUGCAUUAGCGGAUACUUUUGUGGACGGUCUAUUUGGUGGGAUAAAUUAUGUACGCUGUGGAUGAGAAGCAGAU
This 608-nucleotide ribosomal RNA is filed under the name uncultured Laccaria. RNAcentral describes it as "eukaryotic LSU rRNA". The stretch from base 291 to 444 matches the Rfam family "5.8S ribosomal RNA". Lineage: Eukaryota; Fungi; Basidiomycota; Agaricomycetes; Agaricales; Tricholomataceae. The record is from RNAcentral.